RNAcentral lists this ribosomal RNA (427 nucleotides) under uncultured Alphaproteobacteria bacterium. RNAcentral describes it as "bacterial SSU rRNA". It matches the Rfam family "Bacterial small subunit ribosomal RNA", at positions 933 to 1359 of the family's 1533-position model. Lineage: Bacteria; Pseudomonadati; Pseudomonadota; Alphaproteobacteria. The record is from RNAcentral.
UGGAGCAUGUGGUUUAAUUCGACGCAACGCGCAGAACCUUACCCAGGCUUGACAUCCCGAGAAUCCGGCCCAAAAGCUGGAGUGCUAGCAAUAGAAUUCGGUGACAGGUGCUGCAUGGCUGUCGUCAGCUCGUGUCGUGAGAUGUUGGGUUAAGUCCCGCAACGAGCGCAACCCUCGUCUUUAGUUGCCACCAUUCAGUUGGGCACUCUAGAGAGACUGCCGGUGUUAAACCGGAGGAAGGUGGGGAUGACGUCAAGUCCUCAUGGCCCUUACGCCUGGGGCUACACACGUACUACAAUGGCCGCUACAAUCCGUUGCAAGACCGCGAGGUGGAGCCAAUCGGAAAAAAGCGGCCUCAGUUCAGAUUGCAGUCUGCAACUCGACUGCAUGAAGGCGGAAUCGCUAGUAAUCGCAGAUCAGCAAGCUG